Molecule: ribosomal RNA, 2881 nt
Organism: Burkholderia glumae BGR1
Lineage: Bacteria; Pseudomonadati; Pseudomonadota; Betaproteobacteria; Burkholderiales; Burkholderiaceae
Rfam family: Bacterial large subunit ribosomal RNA
Source: Rfam
GGUCAAGCGAACAAGUGCAUGUGGUGGAUGCCUUGGCGAUCACAGGCGAUGAAGGACGCGGUAGCCUGCGAAAAGCUACGGGGAGCUGGCAAACGAGCUUUGAUCCGUAGAUGUCCGAAUGGGGAAACCCACUCCUUUUGGAGUAUCCAUGACUGAAUACAUAGGUCAUGUGAAGCGAACGCGGUGAACUGAAACAUCUAAGUAACCGCAGGAAAAGAAAUCAACCGAGAUUCCCAAAGUAGUGGCGAGCGAAAUGGGAAGAGCCUGUACUCUUUAUUUGUAUUGUUAGCCGAACGCUCUGGAAAGUGCGGCCAUAGCAGGUGAUAGCCCUGUAGGCGAAAACAGUAUGAAAGAACUAGGUGUACGACAAGUAGGGCGGGACACGUGAAAUCCUGUCUGAAGAUGGGGGGACCAUCCUCCAAGGCUAAAUACUCGUGAUCGACCGAUAGUGAACCAGUACCGUGAGGGAAAGGUGAAAAGAACCCCGGGAGGGGAGUGAAAUAGAUCCUGAAACCGCAUGCAUACAAACAGUCGGAGCCUCGUAAGGGGUGACGGCGUACCUUUUGUAUAAUGGGUCAGCGACUUACGUUCAGUAGCAAGCUUAACCGAAUAGGGCAGGCGUAGCGAAAGCGAGUCCGAAUAGGGCGUUCAGUUGCUGGGCGUAGACCCGAAACCAAGUGAUCUAUCCAUGGCCAGGAUGAAGGUGCGGUAACACGUACUGGAGGUCCGAACCCACUAACGUUGAAAAGUUAGGGGAUGAGCUGUGGAUAGGGGUGAAAGGCUAAACAAACUUGGAAAUAGCUGGUUCUCUCCGAAAACUAUUUAGGUAGUGCCUCGUGUCUCACCUUCGGGGGUAGAGCACUGUCAUGGUUGGGGGGUCUAUUGCAGAUUACCCCGCCAUAGCAAACUCCGAAUACCGAAGAGUGCAAUCACGGGAGACAGACAUCGGGUGCUAACGUCCGGUGUCAAGAGGGAAACAACCCAGACCGCCAGCUAAGGUCCCCAAAUAUGGCUAAGUGGGAAACGAAGUGGGAAGGCUAAAACAGUCAGGAGGUUGGCUUAGAAGCAGCCACCCUUUAAAGAAAGCGUAAUAGCUCACUGAUCGAGUCGUCCUGCGCGGAAGAUGUAACGGGGCUAAGCCAUAUACCGAAGCUGCGGAUGCGAGCUAGUCUCGCAUGGUAGGAGAGCGUUCCGUAAGCCUGCGAAGGUGCAUUGUAAAGUGUGCUGGAGGUAUCGGAAGUGCGAAUGCUGACAUGAGUAGCGAUAAAGGGGGUGAAAGGCCCCCUCGCCGUAAGCCCAAGGUUUCCUACGCAACGUUCAUCGGCGUAGGGUGAGUCGGCCCCUAAGGCGAGGCAGAAAUGCGUAGCUGAUGGGAAGCAGGUCAAUAUUCCUGCACCAUUGUUAAAUGCGAUGGGGGGACGGAUCGCGGAAGGUUGUCCGGGUGUUGGAAGUCCCGGUCGCUGCAUUGGAGAAGGCGCUUAGGCAAAUCCGGGCGCGGAAUUCAAGGGUGUGGCGCGAGCUUCUUCGGAAGCGAAGCAAUCGGAAGUGGUUCCAAGAAAAGCCUCUAAGCUUCAGUUUAACAGUGACCGUACCGCAAACCGACACAGGUGGGCGAGAUGAGUAUUCUAAGGCGCUUGAGAGAACUCGGGAGAAGGAACUCGGCAAAUUGGUACCGUAACUUCGGGAUAAGGUACGCCCCUGUAGCUUGACUGGCCUGCGCCAGAAGGGUGAAGGGGUUGCAAUAAACUGGUGGCUGCGACUGUUUAAUAAAAACACAGCACUCUGCAAACACGAAAGUGGACGUAUAGGGUGUGACGCCUGCCCGGUGCCGGAAGAUUAAAUGAUGGGGUGCAAGCUCUUGAUUGAAGUCCCGGUAAACGGCGGCCGUAACUAUAACGGUCCUAAGGUAGCGAAAUUCCUUGUCGGGUAAGUUCCGACCUGCACGAAUGGCGUAACGAUGGCCACACUGUCUCCUCCCGAGACUCAGCGAAGUUGAAGUGUUUGUGAUGAUGCAAUCUCCCCGCGGCUAGACGGAAAGACCCCAUGAACCUUUACUGUAGCUUUGCAUUGGACUUUGAACCGAUCUGUGUAGGAUAGGUGGGAGGCUAUGAAACCGGAACGCUAGUUUCGGUGGAGCCGUCCUUGAAAUACCACCCUGGUUUGUUUGAGGUUCUAACCUUGGCCCGUGAUCCGGGUCGGGGACAGUGCAUGGUAGGCAGUUUGACUGGGGCGGUCUCCUCCCAAAGUGUAACGGAGGAGUACGAAGGUACGCUAGGUACGGUCGGAAAUCGUGCUGAUAGUGCAAUGGCAUAAGCGUGCUUAACUGCGAGACCGACAAGUCGAGCAGGUGCGAAAGCAGGUCAUAGUGAUCCGGUGGUUCUGUAUGGAAGGGCCAUCGCUCAACGGAUAAAAGGUACUCUGGGGAUAACAGGCUGAUACCGCCCAAGAGUUCAUAUCGACGGCGGUGUUUGGCACCUCGAUGUCGGCUCAUCUCAUCCUGGGGCUGUAGCCGGUCCCAAGGGUAUGGCUGUUCGCCAUUUAAAGAGGUACGUGAGCUGGGUUUAAAACGUCGUGAGACAGUUUGGUCCCUAUCUGCCGUGGGCGUUGGAUAUUUGAAGGGGGCUGCUCCUAGUACGAGAGGACCGGAGUGGACGAACCUCUGGUGUACCGGUUGUCACGCCAGUGGCAUCGCCGGGUAGCUAUGUUCGGAAGAGAUAACCGCUGAAAGCAUCUAAGCGGGAAACUCGCCUUAAGAUGAGAUAUCCCCGGGGACUUGAUCCCCUUGAAGGGUCGUUCGAGACCAGGACGUUGAUAGGUCAGGUGUGUAAGCGCAGUAAUGCGUUCAGCUAACUGAUACUAAUUGCCCGUAAGGCUUGAUCCU